CUUCACCGAUCCGAGCAGCAACGGGCCCCGGUCGCCCCGGCUCUGACCGUACGUGGCCAGCAGCGCCUGGGCCUC
RNAcentral lists this antisense RNA (75 nucleotides) under Streptomyces bingchenggensis BCW-1. RNAcentral describes it as "ASpks TB sRNA". It matches the Rfam family "ASpks TB sRNA". Lineage: Bacteria; Bacillati; Actinomycetota; Actinomycetes; Kitasatosporales; Streptomycetaceae. The record is from Rfam by way of RNAcentral.